This 424-nucleotide ribosomal RNA is filed under the name Verrucomicrobiota bacterium. Its description in RNAcentral is "Verrucomicrobia bacterium partial 16S ribosomal RNA". It matches the Rfam family "Bacterial small subunit ribosomal RNA", at positions 355 to 776 of the family's 1533-position model. Lineage: Bacteria; Pseudomonadati; Verrucomicrobiota. The record is from RNAcentral.
UGAGGAAUAUUGGUCAAUGGGCGAGAGCCUGAACCAGCCAAGUAGCGUGCAGGAUGACGGCCCUAUGGGUUGUAAACUGCUUUUAUAUGGGAAUAAAGUGAGGGACGUGUCCCUUAUUGCAUGUACCAUAUGAAUAAGGACCGGCUAAUUCCGUGCCAGCAGCCGCGGUAAUACGGAAGGUCCAGGCGUUAUCCGGAUUUAUUGGGUUUAAAGGGAGCGUAGGCUGUUUGUUAAGCGUGUUGUGAAAUGUAGGAGCUCAACUUCUAGAUUGCAGCGCGAACUGUCAGACUUGAGUGCGCACAACGUAGGCGGAAUUCAUGGUGUAGCGGUGAAAUGCUUAGAUAUCAUGAAGAACUCCGAUUGCGAAGGCAGCUUACGGGAGCGCAACUGACGCUGAAGCUCGAAGGUGCGGGUAUCGAACAGG